AUGUCUCCUGUACUAAUCAGCCCUUAGUCCACCGCAUCAUCCUUUUCACUAUUUUUACAGGAACUCUAAUCACAAUCGGUUCACACUGACUCUUCAUUUGAAUAGGGUUAGAAAUAAACACGCUGGCCAUCAUCUUUAUUUUAUUCAAGAAGGCUAAACUCUGUUCCACAGAAGCAGCCACCAAAUACCUCCUUCCAAAUACGAGGAACCACAUCCAUAAGUCUAACAACAGCCAUUAUUAUCAAUAUAAUGUAUUCUGGGCAAUGAACAAUUUCAAACAUGCUGAACCAAACAGCAUUCCUGAUAAUUAUUGUUGUUCUAGUACAGAAACUGGAAAUAUCCUCCUUUCACUUUUGAGUUCUUGUAGUAACAUAAGGAAUCGCACUAAUAUCAGUAUAAUUAUUCUUAAUGACAGAUACUAGCACCAAUUUCUAUCAUAUUCCAAAUCUUUCCCUCAGUGGACCUAAAUACACUAUUAACAAUUGCAGCACUAUCUAUCUUAGUAGGAGAUUAAGGGGGGCUCAAUCAAACACAGCUCUGAAAAAUGUUAGCAUAUACGUCAAUUGCCGAUAAAGUUUGAAUAAUUGCAAUUUUAAUUUACAAUCAUGUCAUUACAAUCUUAAGUCUACUAACUUACCUAAUAUUAACAGCAACUGUAUCUAUUCUCAAUAUGAAUAUAAAUACUAAAACAUUAUCUACAUGACUGAGUGCUGUUACCUCACCCACUCACAAAACACCAAAAAGAUAUUUUCUUUAUUAGCCUG
Molecule: long non-coding RNA, 764 nt
Filed under: Homo sapiens (human)
Lineage: Eukaryota; Metazoa; Chordata; Mammalia; Primates; Hominidae
Description: non-protein coding lnc-SPANXN4-4:1
Source: RNAcentral